Molecule: ribosomal RNA, 301 nt
Filed under: uncultured bacterium
Lineage: Bacteria
Description: partial 16S ribosomal RNA
Rfam family: Bacterial small subunit ribosomal RNA
Source: RNAcentral
CAGCCGCCGCGGUAAUACGUAGGGUGCGAGCGUUAAUCGGAAUUACUGGGCGUAAGGCGUGCGCAGGCGGUUUUGUAAGACAGGCGUGAAAUCCCCGGGCUCAACCCUGGACAGGCGGUGGAAACUACCAAGCUAGAGUACAGUAGGGGCAGAGGGAAUUUCCGGUGGAGCGGUGAAAUGCAUUGAGAUCGGAAAGAACACCAACGGCGAAAGCACUCUGCUGGGCCGACACUGACACUAAGAGACGAAAGCUAGGGGAGCAAAUGGGAUUAGAUACCCCAGUAGUCCCUGUCUCUUAUAC